AGAGUUUGAUCCUGGCUCAGGACGAACGCUGGCGGCGUGCUUAACACAUGCAAGUCGAACGGUAAGGCCCUUCGGGGUACACGAGUGGCGAACGGGUGAGUAACACGUGGGUAAUCUGCCCUGCACAUCGGGAUAAGCCUGGGAAACUGGGUCUAAUACCGAAUAGGACCACAGGACACAUGUCCUGUGGUGGAAAGCUUUUGCGGUGUGGGAUGGGCCCGCGGCCUAUCAGCUUGUUGGUGGGGUGAUGGCCUACCAAGGCGACGACGGGUAGCCGGCCUGAGAGGGUGUCCGGCCACACUGGGACUGAGAUACGGCCCAGACUCCUACGGGAGGCAGCAGUGGGGAAUAUUGCACAACGGGCGAAAGCCUGAUGCAGCGACGCCGCGUGGGGGAUGACGGCCUUCGGGUUGUAAACCUCUUUCACCAUCGACGAAGGUCCGGGUUUUCUCGGGCUGACGGUAGGUGGAGAAGAAGCACCGGCCAACUACGUGCCAGCAGCCGCGGUAAUACGUAGGGUGCGAGCGUUGUCCGGAAUUACUGGGCGUAAAGAGCUCGUAGGUGGUUUGUCGCGUUGUUCGUGAAAUCUCACGGCUUAACUGUGAGCGUGCGGGCGAUACGGGCAGACUUGAGUACUGCAGGGGAGACUGGAGUUCCUGGUGUAGCGGUGGAAUGCGCAGAUAUCAGGAGGAACACCGGUGGCGAAGGCGGGUCUCUGGGCAGUAACUGACGCUGAGGAGCGAAAGCGUGGGGAGCGAACAGGAUUAGAUACCCUGGUAGUCCAA
This 785-nucleotide ribosomal RNA is filed under the name uncultured bacterium. RNAcentral describes it as "bacterial SSU rRNA". It matches the Rfam family "Bacterial small subunit ribosomal RNA", at positions 8 to 798 of the family's 1533-position model. The record is from RNAcentral.